AAAUAAACCUUAUUGUAGCGGCUAUCCUUUUUGCCCCACUAACCCACAAUAUGCUGCUAACCAUCGCAAAAAGAUAGGAGCGGAAAGAAGGACUGCUG
Molecule: small RNA, 98 nt
Filed under: Pedobacter sp. AK013
Lineage: Bacteria; Pseudomonadati; Bacteroidota; Sphingobacteriia; Sphingobacteriales; Sphingobacteriaceae
Description: Flavo-1 RNA
Rfam family: Flavo-1 RNA
Source: RNAcentral